RNAcentral lists this ribosomal RNA (392 nucleotides) under uncultured bacterium. Its description in RNAcentral is "bacterial SSU rRNA". It matches the Rfam family "Bacterial small subunit ribosomal RNA", at positions 30 to 424 of the family's 1533-position model. The record is from RNAcentral.
AUUGAACGCUGGCGGCAUGCCUUACACAUGCAAGUCGAACGGAUUCUUGGGGCUUGCUCCAAGAGUUAGUGGCGAACGGGUGAGUAAAGCAUCGGAACGUGCCCAAUCGUGGGGGAUAACGUAGCGAAAGUUACGCUAAUACCGCAUACGUCCUGAGGGAGAAAGCAGGGGACUCGCAAGAGCCUUGCGCGAAUGGAGCGGCCGAUGUCGGAUUAGCUAGUUGGCGGGGUAAAGCCCACCAAGGCGACGAUCCGUAGCUGGUCUGAGAGGACGACCAGCCACACUGGGACUGAGACACGGCCCAGACUCCUACGGGAGGCAGCAGUGGGGAAUUUUGGACAAUGGGCGCAAGCCUGAUCCAGCCAUGCCGCGUGAGUGAAGAAGGCCUGGUU